Molecule: long non-coding RNA, 1030 nt
Organism: Capsicum annuum
Lineage: Eukaryota; Viridiplantae; Streptophyta; Magnoliopsida; Solanales; Solanaceae
Exons: 2
Source: RefSeq, a predicted model, not a curated record
UAGCUAUGUGGGACCAUGAGAGACUCGCAAAGUUCGUAUACCCCUUCUAGAUCCUGCCCCUUUAGGACCUGCAAUUAACUCAAUUUGGAUUAGGCCCGAAGGCAUUGAAGAUUAAUAGGAGAAGUCAUGUAUCUCAACACCUUUGGACUCUGCCCAUUAUCCAUUGGAGAAUAAUAAAAGAAACUCUUGUAUCUCAAACCUCUGAAUCUUGCCCAAAAACCACAGGAGAAGAACGAUAUAAUCCAACCAAUGAUAUGCAUGGGAAAUCAUAUGAGAAACUAAUGCUAUUAGAACCUUGAGAAGUGCGAGACAAACUAAUUACAAAAUUCAUAGUAAUCCGCUCUUACUUCCACUGUGGGAUAGGUAGCUUCUAAAGAAAUCCACGUGAUCUCAAGUUCUAGGACUCCACCUACUGACAACACAAACAUCGAGAUCUGAAUUCCUCUUUGUCCCUUUUCAUUCCACACCACCAGCAAUGCUGUCUCAGAUCUCUACAUCUUAUAUGCACCAGGAUGAAUGAAUUAUCUAGAGCGAGUCUUUUGCAAUAUCAACAAAAUCAAAUCACCAAUCCUCAAAUAUCAAGACACCCUCUGGGUCCAAGAUUCUGGGAGGCAGCUGCUGUAGCAUUAGACGCUGUAGCACUAUUAAUAAAGGGAGAUGAUGUGCUAGGACCUUUAAUUCUCAAUACAGAAAGGCUAAGUGUGGAUGAUGUAGAAGGCACAAAUAAAGAGCUACUAUGCAGACUAUUAUGAGGAAAAGUGAUGUGGAACUGGUCAGAUGGUAGCGGCAUAAAAAUGCAUUUGGUAGUGAAAUAGUUGACGAGGAGGAGGAGGAAAAUUUGCAGUAUCUGGUGGAGAAGUUGUGGUAAUAGGUGGUGGUGGUGGUGUAUAUUGACCUGCAGGAGGAUUAUCAGGUCCUUUCUUACUUUUCUUACGUUGUCCAUUACCAUUACCCUUUUGCGCCAUUAAUUUUUUUUACUAACCACCUGAAGAAGAAAGAACAACCAAAUUAGAAAACAACCUAUUUUUCA